Vespa mandarinia (Asian giant hornet) is the source of this 2099-nucleotide long non-coding RNA. NCBI's taxonomy places the organism in Eukaryota, Metazoa, Arthropoda, Insecta, Hymenoptera, Vespidae. The record is from RefSeq and is a predicted model, not a curated record.
CUUUAUAUAGAUACGUAUAAAUGCUAUAUGCAUUAAACAUAGAAAGUGCAUGCAGCCAGAGAAGCAAAUAACAUCCGUGAGAAAUGAAACGUUCGUUGAAUGUGCCGAGCACCGGCUGCGCGUAAUGCAUCAUCAGUGUAAAGAUAGUUAGGCACGUGCGCGAUACGCCCGUACACGCUUCCCGAUUACAUCUUUACUCGGUGGUACCUGUUUGCCAGUGUUAGUGUUACAUAUAUCGAAGCCCUUAUUACCGAGCCCUCUGUCUCUCACGCUCGCAUUGAUUCGCUAUUCCGUUCACGGUAUGUAAUUAUUGAAGCUGCAAACGUGGGUUAAACUACGUUGGAACUCGAUAUAUUGCGUGUUAAUCAAAUUUCAUUUCAAAAUGAAACGUCAUAUUUGAAAAAUGAUAAGUGGGCUUGACUAGUAAUGAAAGACAAACGAGAAAUCUUAAAUGUCCAUUGGCGAACGAAGCCGGUGAUGUACACGAGACCUAUCGAUUCGACGUACAAAGUAUGACUGAGAAUUCAAAUCAAGGUCCUUUAUAUAAUAACAGUCUUUGCUGUUCUGCUCUACCUCUUCCAAACCAUCGUCCUUCUUACGAACGCGAUCCCCGAUCGACCACGCCCCAUUGAGAUCGGAAAUAUAUUUUUUUAUAAAGUCAACAAGGCCACGUUUUCACUGUCUUUCGUGGAAAUGACGCACUUACCGAAGCAUUUGCUCUGGUUAGUGGCCCGGUCGAUGAAGACCUUCGAGGAGAUGACGUUGCCGAAGGGCAUGAACAUCUGCAUGAGCUCGGUGUCACCGAACUCCUGUGGCAGGUGGUAGAUGAACAGGUUGCAGCCCUCGGGUCCUGAGAUAGAGCAUCCUACCAUAUAAAUCAGAGCACAUCUAAACAUCUAAACUUGAAGUAUAAUACUCAAGUUAGAAUGUUAGUCUUUGGAUGAGUUUCCUUCUUCGGUAGAAAAGUUGUUAUGAUUCGGCGAUAGUGAAAAGCGAGAACUUGCGAGUGCGAGUUUCAAUGAAAAUGAAGAUGAAGUUUCGUGAUAAUCGGAUUUAAAGUCUCUCACAUCGUGUCAAACUAUUUUAUGAGCAAAUACAUAGAUCAUUAUAUGGAACAAUCGAUCGGUGAGAGACAAAUAAGAUUUUGAAAUGUAAUGAGAGAGACAAAGUCGAAACAAAGUGAUAUGCAUAUAUAAUAAUGAAAUAAAAGAGAAAGAGACGCGAGAGGUUUCUCGCAAGUGCCGUUCCUUACGAUCCUGAUGAUUCUUUCUCUUUCUCUCGCGCGCACUUUCAAAGUAACGUUGAGUAUUUAUACUUUCAAUUAUACAAACACACAACACAGGGAAUUCACACAACACAAUGACGGACGAAACAAGGGAAUUGGACUGGUGAAUAUUGGAGAAGUCAGACUUUUCUUUGAGUUAACAUCACGUUGAAAAGCGACAAAGAAGACAUCGACAGAAGGAUUAAUACGUGCGCAUGCUCGACGAAGAACGCUUUCCAACGAGUGCCAAGGGGGGAGGGGAGAGGGGGGGGGGGGGAGAGAGAGAAGGGUCGGGAGGAAGUCCAAAUAAGGAUUUAGCUAAUUUCACUGAACUUUAUAACUCCGACGUCAAUUAGCGGCGAUUAUGACCGUAGAAACUUCUGCUCUCUUGCCCAGAGAGCUACCCGACUAACGGACGCAUUUAAGUAAUGAGAUGGCUGCCACUCAACUUUUAGGGCGCUACUCAUCGCGAGCCGCUUGUUACUUUGGCAGGAUCCACCACCUUUGAGAUCUUCCUCUCUUUCUCUCCUUUUCCUUUAUUCUCCUUUCGAGACUUUGGGAAUAAUCCAAAGCUAUGUCGAAUCACGAGCAAGUAUAAUUGUCCACUGGUAGCAGUUCCAGGAACAAUCCUGACACCUCUAUCUUUUUUAUGAUAACCCUCUCUUUAAAGAUCGAAAUGCAAAUACAAUGCUAUACUUUUUGUCAUUUAAAGAGUUUCAAUACUUCCCUUCAUUUACCUAUUUUCCUCUCUCUCUCUUUCUCUCUCUCUCCCGCUCCCGCUCCCCUCCCCUUUCUUUGUUCGCAAAACAGUCUUUCUCAUUAAAUUCCAUCUAAU